UCCAUCCCGCAAUAGUUGUCGCUUUGACUUUUUUCUUUCAAUGUUUGCCCAUUCGUUUUAUUUGAAAAAUUUGUGUAAAUAUGAAAAAGGAUAAGUAAUACUUAAAGUACUUUUGAUAAUAAAGAAAGUCACAAAUAAAAUAAAUGAUAAUUUUAAAAAAUUUUGAAUAAGACGAAUGAUCAAAUUUUACAAACAAAAACUCAAAGCGACAAGUAAUAUGGGACGGAGGU
Molecule: unclassified non-coding RNA, 230 nt
Filed under: Oryza sativa (Asian cultivated rice)
Lineage: Eukaryota; Viridiplantae; Streptophyta; Magnoliopsida; Poales; Poaceae
Description: partial microRNA MIR431b-10 precursor
Source: RNAcentral